UGGGGGAUAUUGCACAAUGGGCGAAAGCCUGAUGCAGCGACGCCGCGUGGGGGAUGAAGGCUUUCGGGUUGUAAACCUCUUUCGCUAUCGAACAAGGCCCGCUUAGGGUGGGUUGAGGGUAGGUGGAGAAGAAGCGCCGGCUAACUACGUGCCAGCAGCCGCGGUAAUACGUAGGGCGCGAGCGUUGUCCGGAAUUAUUGGGCGUAAAGGGCUUGUAGGCGGCUUGUUGCGCCUGCUGUGAAAACGCGGGGCUUAACUUCGCGCGUGCAGUGGGUACGGGCAGGCUUGAGUGUGGUAGGGGUGACUGGAAUUCCAGGUGUAGCGGUGGAAUGCGCAGAUAUCUGGAGGAACACCGAUGGCGAAGGGAGGUCACUGGGCCAGUACUGACGCUGAGGAGCGAAAGCAUGGGUAGCGAACAGG
Molecule: ribosomal RNA, 420 nt
Filed under: bacterium
Lineage: Bacteria
Description: partial 16S ribosomal RNA
Rfam family: Bacterial small subunit ribosomal RNA
Source: RNAcentral